This 495-nucleotide ribosomal RNA is filed under the name uncultured bacterium. RNAcentral's name for it is "partial 16S ribosomal RNA". It matches the Rfam family "Bacterial small subunit ribosomal RNA", at positions 28 to 507 of the family's 1533-position model. The record is from RNAcentral.
GACGAACGCUGGCGGCGUGCCUAAUACAUGCAAGUAGAACGCUGAAGGAGGAGCUUGCUUCUCUGGAUGAGUUGCGAACGGGUGAGUAACGCGUAGGUAACCUGCCUGGUAGCGGGGGAUAACUAUUGGAAACGAUAGCUAAUACCGCAUAAGAGUAGAUGUCGCAUGACAUUUGCUUAAAAGGUGCAAUUGCAUCACUACCAGAUGGACCUGCGUUGUAUUAGCUAGUUGGUGAGGUAACGGCUCACCAAGGCAACGAUACAUAGCCGACCUGAGAGGGUGAUCGGCCACACUGGGACUGAGACACGGCCCAGACUCCUACGGGAGGCAGCAGUAGGGAAUCUUCGGCAAUGGACGGAAGUCUGAACGAGCAACGCCGCGUGAGUGAAGAAGGUUUUCGGAUCGUAAAGCCCUGUUGUAAGAGAAGAACGAGUGUGAGAGUGGAAAGUUCACACUGUGACGGUAACUUACCAGAAAGGGACGGCUAACUACGUG